RNAcentral lists this ribosomal RNA (497 nucleotides) under uncultured bacterium. RNAcentral describes it as "partial 16S ribosomal RNA". It matches the Rfam family "Bacterial small subunit ribosomal RNA", at positions 28 to 507 of the family's 1533-position model. The record is from RNAcentral.
GAUGAACGCUGGCGGCGUGCCUAAUACAUGCAAGUCGAGCGAACAGACGAGGAGCUUGCUCCUCUGACGUUAGCGGCGGACGGGUGAGUAACACGUGGAUAACCUACCUAUAAGACUGGGAUAACUUCGGGAAACCGGAGCUAAUACCGGAUAAUAUAUUGAACCGCAUGGUUCAAUAGUGAAAGGCGGUUUUGCUGUCACUUAUAGAUGGAUCCGCGCCGCAUUAGCUAGUUGGUAAGGUAACGGCUUACCAAGGCAACGAUGCGUAGCCGACCUGAGAGGGUGAUCGGCCACACUGGAACUGAGACACGGUCCAGACUCCUACGGGAGGCAGCAGUAGGGAAUCUUCCGCAAUGGGCGAAAGCCUGACGGAGCAACGCCGCGUGAGUGAUGAAGGUCUUCGGAUCGUAAAACUCUGUUAUUAGGGAAGAACAAAUGUGUAAGUAACUAUGCACGUCUUGACGGUACCUAAUCAGAAAGCCACGGCUAGCUACGUG